This 967-nucleotide long non-coding RNA is filed under the name Cyanistes caeruleus (blue tit). RNAcentral describes it as "lncRNA (ENSCCEG00000009773.1)". The record is from RNAcentral. Lineage: Eukaryota; Metazoa; Chordata; Aves; Passeriformes; Paridae.
UUUCACAUGUUUAGCCAUUUCAUAAAAGACAUCACUGCAAGAUAAAAAUUUAUUCUCUAGGGAAAGCAGAUAGAAACAUACCACUAUUUUGAGUCAAAGUGCCUCAAGGUAAUUUACAAAACACAUUGCAAUAUUAUGUUGAAGAAGCAUAAAAAUUCCACUGGGAGGCAUUGUAUAGUCUAAUACACUUUUCACUGUAAGACAAAACAUUACACAGAAACACCAGAUUGGCAGGCCUAAGUAACUGGAAACAAAACUAAUUCAGACACUGAAACAAAAUUGUAUUUGCUUAUAAGUCUUAUGAAAGGGAAAAGCAAAGGUGACGUUCUUCAUACAGACUUCAUACAGCUUUGAAUAAGGGGUGAAGGACAGCUCUGCCUUUUUGUGAUUUGUUCUUUGUUUUGAAAUGACAAUUACAAUUUUAAUAUCAUAGUAUCAAGCUGCUGGAUUGGAGAGGAAAAAUUUCUCUUUAACAUGGAGUAACCUAAUUCUGAGGGUAUGUUUGGUAAAACAUACUGAAUGAGGCAACUUAAGCUACCUUGGAGAGAACAGCAUCCACACACGGAAGCACAACAGAACACAAGAAAAACUCAGAGAUGAAAUUUCUGUGUUAUUCCACAGCCUUUUGAGUACUAUGUGGAAAAAGAACACAACGCUAUUUCUGGCAUCCAGAUAAAAGCAGUUUGGUUUCUGGAAGCUGUGGAUACUUUGCUGAUACCUGCUGCAUCUGAUAGUUUCUUCCUGAUUUCUUCAAUCAAAGUCAAAACUGAAAGCACAACAGCAUGUGCUCUCUUUGGGCAUCCAAUCAGUCUGAAAUGGUACAUUUGUGAAACAAGCAAAGCUCUUCAGCAUGAGGCUUGGGAAGAUAGGUACUGGGUGUCAUCAAUCAAUGAAUUUUCCAGCAGGUCAUUUCUCAGAGCAUCCAUUCUCCUGAAGGCAGUUCCAGAGUUUAAAAAUUAAACCAAAU